Xenia sp. Carnegie-2017 is the source of this 527-nucleotide RNA transcript. RefSeq lists it as uncharacterized. The record is from RefSeq and is a predicted model, not a curated record. Lineage: Eukaryota; Metazoa; Cnidaria; Anthozoa; Malacalcyonacea; Xeniidae. The transcript is spliced from 3 exons.
AUGUAGGUCGCAUGUGUGAGGGUUGUUGUCUCGUGCAUAAAUCUAGUGUAGAAAAUAAUUCAAAAUUAGAUUUAUAGAUGACUUGCCUUGUUUACGUUUUGCUAGCAGGCAGAUUUGGUCGAGCGCUUUUAGAGAAUACCAACAGCAAUAACGUAAUUUCAUUGACGUUUUGCUUCUUAUAUUUUUAAAUCUAAUCAAGUCGACGGCGUGGAUAUUUUCAAUUUAGAACCACAUGAUAUUUAUCAGAUGAUUCCUCGAAUAAAACUUCACAAGAAGUUUACGUGUAUUUGGAAUGACGUUACUCAAAAGGGCUUGUCAGAAUCAGCUUGAACAGUGCACUCCCACAUCUAUUCAAGCCACAUAAGAACCAUCAACUUGGAUGUAAAUGAAGACAUUGUUCUUAGUACUUCAGCUGAUCAUCAAAAUGAUGAGAACAUUCAACCAGAGAGACAUCUCAAGGACAAUGUUCCAAGGAGUCCCUUGACAGCUAAUGUGAACAGUUCCAAUUGGUUGUCCAAGUUUUGUUU